Biomphalaria glabrata is the source of this 1012-nucleotide long non-coding RNA. RefSeq lists it as uncharacterized. The record is from RefSeq and is a predicted model, not a curated record. NCBI's taxonomy places the organism in Eukaryota, Metazoa, Mollusca, Gastropoda, Planorbidae. The transcript has 3 exons.
AGGCUUAUUUUCUAUAGUAGUGUUUUUUGUAGAAGUGUUCUGUUUACAUUUUGUUCUUUAAGGAAUGGUUAGAGAUUUUAACUUGUUCUGUAAACCUUAGGAUGUUGAGUUGCCUGAUUUACUCCUUGGCCCACCAGGGAUGGCAAAUUCCACCAACUGGCUAUAAUUUAAAAAAAAACAGAAAUAGAAAAGUGGUUUUUAGUGCUGGGACAAAACCCCAAAAGCCCGUGGAGUAUGGGAGCGCAUGAGGCGCCCUGACCGCAUUUCCCCGAGGUGGAAGCUGUCCAGGCUUGAGCAAGCUAUUAUAGCACUGUGCAGGACAGGCCUUUGUUCUGUUGGCUCAUAUUUCUCACGGCUAUGGCCAAAUUUUGAUUCACGGUGCCCAUGCUGUGGGGAAGAAGAGGAAACCGUGCAUUAUAUUCUUUUUGUCCCAGACUUGCUGACCUCCUCCUCGACAGGUCUGGAAAACCAAAAAUUCUCGAUCUGUAUGGCGACGUGUACCACUACGCAAGAAAGCAGGAUUUCUGUCCAGGGCUUUUGCAAGAGAGGAUUUAAGCCUAUCAAGCCCUCACUCAAAUGGAGUUUGAUGUUUCAUCAAUAUGUGGAUUCCAUGACAGUUUUUCAUUUAUUAUAACACCUAGGUAUUUUGCGUUUUUAGUCUGUGUUACUGGUUUGCCAUGAAUAAGAUAAGUGGAAUUAAUUUGUUUUAGUUUUUUUGUUACUCUUAUCAACUGACAUUUUUCUGGGUGGAAAGACAUGCUCCAAUUUGAUUCCCAUUUCUGUAAUUCAUCUAAUUCUCUUUGUAAAAUAUCUGUGUCUUGUGUUGUUUUUAUUGUUCUAUAUAUUAUGCAAUCGUCUGCAAAUAAUCUGACUUUUGUUCCUGAAGUAAUGCAAUUUGGUAAAUCAUUUAUGUAAAUUAAAAAUAGUAGUGGACCCAAGACUGUUCCUUGAGGAACACCUGAGUCAAAACCCAUUUAGCUACGCUCAUAACAUUUUGAGUGCAUAAUUUGAG